UCUUUCUGGGUCUCAAGCGGACUGACAUUCAGACUGGAACUUACAUGAGCAGUUCUCCUGGGUAUCCAGUUUGCUGAUUGCAGAUCUUGGAACUAGUUGGCCUUAAUUAGAUAAAACAUGUAAACCAGGAAAUGACAAAUGUUGCCCUCAUCUGUGAAAUGUGAGCUCGAGAAAGGGAAGGAGUCCGGUGUACUCCUGUUCACUGCCGUAUCCUCAGCUCCCAGAGCAAACCUAGUAGAAGAAAACCACUGAUAUAGCUAUUAUGGACACUGAAAAUAAAACAAGAUAAAAUGAAAAACACAUUAUAGAAAUGAAGACAAUGGACUCAAAGAAAAUGGGAAUAGGAACAAAAUGAAAAUGUCAGGAAGAUGUGACUGAGUCAGGUUUAUUUCCAGUGUAGGAGGUAAUGUGUUUCUGUGCUUCGUGGCCAAUAGCCAAG
Molecule: long non-coding RNA, 439 nt
Organism: Nyctereutes procyonoides (raccoon dog)
Lineage: Eukaryota; Metazoa; Chordata; Mammalia; Carnivora; Canidae
Exons: 4
Source: RefSeq, a predicted model, not a curated record